CCUACGGGAGGCAGCAGUGAGGAAUAUUGGUCAAUGGACGCAAGUCUGAACCAGCCAUGCCGCGUGCAGGAAGACGGCUCUAUGAGUUGUAAACUGCUUUUGUACGAGGGUAAACGCAGAUACGCGUAUCUGUCUGAAAGUAUCGUACGAAUAAGGAUCGGCUAACUCCGUGCCAGCAGCCGCGGGAAUUCGGAGGAUUCAAGCGUUAUCCGGAUUUAUUGGGUUUAAAGGGUGCGUAGGCGGUCGGAUAAGUUAGAGGUGAAAGCCCGAGGCUCAACUUCGGAAUUGCCUCUGAUACUGUUCGGCUAGAGAGUAGUUGCGGUAGGCGGAAUGUAUGGUGUAGCGGUGAAAUGCUUAGAGAUCAUACAGAACACCGAUUGCGAAGGCAGCUUACCAAGCUACUUCUGACGUUGAGGCACGAAAGCGUGGGGAGCAAACAGGAUUAGAUACCCCUGUAGUC
Molecule: ribosomal RNA, 460 nt
Filed under: uncultured bacterium
Lineage: Bacteria
Description: partial 16S ribosomal RNA
Rfam family: Bacterial small subunit ribosomal RNA
Source: RNAcentral